Molecule: ribosomal RNA, 562 nt
Filed under: uncultured bacterium
Lineage: Bacteria
Description: bacterial SSU rRNA
Rfam family: Bacterial small subunit ribosomal RNA
Source: RNAcentral
CCUACGGGAGGCAGCAGUGAGGAAUUUUCCGCAAUGGGCGAAAGCCUGACGGAGCAAUGCCGCGUGAAGGAUGAAUGCCUAUGGGUUGUAAACUUCUUUUCUCAGAGAAGAAUUUUGACGGUAUCUGAGGAAUAAGCAUCGGCUAACUCUGUGCCAGUAGCCGCGGUAAGACAGAGGAUGCAAGCGUUAUCCGGAUUGAUUGGGCGUAAAGCGUCUGUAGGUGGUUUAUCCAGUCUUCUGUCAAAGAUCAGGGCUUAACCUUGGAUAGGCAGGAGAAACUAAUAGACUAGAGUUCGGUAGGGGCAGAGGGAAUUCCCGGUGGAGCGGUGAAAUGCGUAGAGAUCGGGAGGAACACCAAAGGCGAAAGCACUCUGCUGGGCCGCGACUGACACUGAGAGACAAAAGCGAGGGGAGCAAAUGGGAUUAGAUACCCCAGUAGUCCUCGCCGUAAACGAUGGAUACUAGGUGUUGGGUGAUAUUACAUUCAGUACCGUAGCUAACGCGUGAAGUAUCCCGCCUGGGGAGUAUGCUCGCAAGAGUGAAACUCAAAUGAAUUGACGGA